AUCCCUAUCCGCUUGCCCCUGCUCCCGCACGCUACGCCCAGGACCAAGGCGACCGGUGCCCCGGCUCCAGGAGCAUACAGCAGGCGCGACCAAGAGCAGAGGGCCGGCGGGCCGCAUCGCCUGGGCCUCCCCCGCGCGCGCCCGGCGCGACCAGGAGCUGGCGAGCAGCACACCGACUGCGGAGCUCGGCGAGCAGGAGCAGCACGUGCGGUCGCAGACGUCGGCGUGCUCGCGCCCAUCGCACCCGAUUCGGCUCGUCGUCUCCUGCAGAUCUCCGACCGAGUCCCUUGUUGCCCACUGCAUUAAUCUCCGGCCAGCUCCGUGGUUUGAGCAAAGAAAAAGGAGGUUUUGAGAAGACAAAGGUAUGGCGUAAUCCAUCCUAAUCCUGCCAGGUUCGAUAAUCUCCGGCCAGCUUCGUACUAAGUUUGCAGGAAACAGAAAUUUUUGUUAGAUUGUUCUAGAUGCAUUUGUAUAAUUUAUCUCAAUUGGAGUAAAAGUAAUUGUCUCUGGACUCCCUUGAAAAUUACGUCUAAUGCAGACCUCCUAAUCCUGUUCCAAUAAUUUAUCAAAUUGUUAAGUGGUAUGUCUGCAAUAUUUCUAUCUUUAUUGACACUUUAUAGCAGAUAAUUUAGUGUGUAUUUUUGUCAACUAAGCUUCACUAGCACUUGAGAACUGUUCAUUGGCCUAUUAGAAUUCACAGGUUAGAAUAUUUUAAUGUGCAUUGUCUUGUAAAACUUUGUCCACUCGUUAGAAUAUUAAUGUGCAUUCACAGGUUAGAAUAUUAAUUAUAUAGCACAGUAGAUAUGCCUAGUCUGUCCACUCGUUUGCUUGUAAAACUUUGUUUCUUCGGAGCUUGUGCUGACUUUCUUAUUUUCUUCAGAGCAAAAAUAUCUCAAAAGGAGCUUGUGCAGCCAUGCGUGCUACUGUAUAAGAAACUUCUUCUAAACUUCAUGAUAGUUAUUUCCUUUUUUCAAAGAAUUCUCUUAGCUACAGACUGAUGUUCCAUAUAAUUUUUUUUUAUAGAAACAACAGCAUGGUACAGGCAGUAGGUUAGUGAUCAGCUCAACGAUGGUAUAAGAGUGUUUAUGUUCAUUAGCAAUUUAUUUUUACAAAUGGUUAACUUUCUGUUGUUUGAUUAUUUUGCUCAAACACUUCCAUAUAUGCACUAGGCUGGCACUACAGUAUUUUUGAAGAGCUGGAAAAGUCAAAAUAAGAAAGUAGCUGUUUCUACAGUAGUAAGUUGUGAUCCAACACACAAACUUGAUGGUGUCCCAAUAGGAAAUGAAUUAGUGCGUGUCAAUGUUGUAAUUGCUGCAGACGAAGCAUUGAUACGGCCAUACAAAACCUACAAAUUUGUCGGUGAUGCAGAUGGAGCUAAUAUUGCUUGGCCUUCAACAUUUGUUGAAAAGAUAAAUUGGUGAUGGUUUCAAUGACAAGCUUGACGGAGGAUGGACAGUGGUGGUGGCAUUUGCAAAAUACUAUUCCUUGUGUUUAAUAUUUGUUUCAAUAGGAAAUGAUGUUUAGAUCAAACUUCUAUCAUGAAUCAUGUGGAUGGUAUUCAAUGUAAUGCAACAAUUCCAUUUCAAUAUAUCAGUGUUUAUUUGCCA
Molecule: long non-coding RNA, 1607 nt
Organism: Phragmites australis (common reed)
Lineage: Eukaryota; Viridiplantae; Streptophyta; Magnoliopsida; Poales; Poaceae
Exons: 3
Source: RefSeq, a predicted model, not a curated record